AUGGUUGAUCCCAGUACAAGCAGGACCCUAAGGAUUUAUCCCCUUUUUACACUGACUAAAUGGGAGGUUUUGGAUUCAACUGUAAUUGUGAUUUGUGCGAAAACUUUGGUAUACAUUGAAGCAAAGCUAACAAGGAUGAAGUCAAACAGCUAUACCUCCAAUGCUUUGCUUGAUACUGUGACAGUAGCAAUAGUCCAGACGAUGAUCCUUUCAAGUAGUAAUUGA
This 225-nucleotide ribosomal RNA is filed under the name Triticum aestivum (bread wheat). Its description in RNAcentral is "partial small subunit ribosomal RNA". The record is from RNAcentral. Lineage: Eukaryota; Viridiplantae; Streptophyta; Magnoliopsida; Poales; Poaceae.